This 1134-nucleotide long non-coding RNA is filed under the name Homo sapiens (human). RNAcentral describes it as "HSALNT0403564". Lineage: Eukaryota; Metazoa; Chordata; Mammalia; Primates; Hominidae. The record is from RNAcentral.
GAAGUUGGAGCAGCAGAAGCUGGGAACCAGAGCUUCAUUCUUGGAACAUUGGCACAUGCUGUGUGUUUCCUGAGACCCAAAUAACCUCAGAUAUAUACAGUGUACUUGCCACUGGAUUCCAUCAUGUCAAACCAGGAUUCCUGAAGUUCUUGUUUAUUUCUGCUGUCUAAACCCAUUACCUUCCACCUCCUAAAGGACUCAACACCACAGCUUUCAAGUCAAGGCCAAAGACACUAACUACAUCUCCAGAAUCAAGUGUACGAUUUGAAAAAUGAUUGCACUUUGAUGUGCUUGCUUUUCUCUCAUGGAAAUGAUUCUCAAUCAUAAUUGUCAAUCUUGACUCAAUUCAAAGCCUGAUAUACACAGAGACUAGUAUGUUAAAGUACUCAAGCCACCAAAAUGAAAGGUAGUCACUAAAAACAAAUUAUAUUGGUUUUGAUUCACUGUGCAUAUGAUAUAGAUGAAGCAGUGAAUAAUUCCUUUUCUCAGUUCAAAGCUAAACUUUGGAGGCAGCGUGUUUUCCUGGAUGUUUAACUAAAUCUUCUCAGCUAACAUUACUAGGUCAAAGCAACAAAAUUCCAAAACACUAUUGUAUUUAGAAAUACAGUGGAUUCUCACUUGUGAGGAUUCCACACUUUAAAGAAUAUUUGCAGCUCAGUGUUUGACCCCAUAGUGCAUGCCUUCCUCUGGAAUCUAGCAGAUGACAGGUACUUAUCUAAAUUCCAACCAACUUUUCUAGCCACAUGUGCAACUGCUAUACCUGAUCAAACACACUGAUGAUUCUGACACAAAGGCCAGAUUUCCUCUAAAUGCUCAUGUCUCUGGGUCUUUGCCAUAUAAUUCUUCAGCCAGGUUGUCUUUCAAUCAUCUUUCCUAACAAAGCUCUAUGCAGUUAAAAGGUCUAAUUUGUCAAGCAGAUGGCCCAAUUCUGCUGCUACUAUUCUACUACACACAUACACACACACAUACGCACAAACACACUCAUUUCCAGUAAAAACCAAUUACUAUGGCUUCUAAAUGUCGAUAUUAUGGGUAUCUAUAUUAUUAUACUUUUCUAUUUUUGCCUUGACUUUAAAUAAAUUGCAGAAGUCUGUUUCUUCCUUACCCUGACAACGUCACUACCCCACAUAACAU